AUACGGAGGGUCCAAGCGUUAUCCGGAAUCAUUGGGUUUAAAGGGUCCGCAGGCGGUCAAUUAAGUCAGAGGUGAAAGCCCAUCGCUCAACGAUGGAACUGCCUUUGAUACUGGUUGACUUGAGUUAUACGGAAGUAGAUAGAAUAAGUAGUGUAGCGGUGAAAUGCAUAAAUAUUACUUAGAAUACCGAUUGCGAAGGCAGUCUACUACGUAUAUACUGACGCUGAGGGACGAAAGCGUGGGGAGCGAACAGGAUUAGAUACCCUGGUAGUCC
RNAcentral lists this ribosomal RNA (274 nucleotides) under uncultured bacterium. Its description in RNAcentral is "partial 16S ribosomal RNA". It matches the Rfam family "Bacterial small subunit ribosomal RNA", at positions 523 to 796 of the family's 1533-position model. The record is from RNAcentral.